RNAcentral lists this ribosomal RNA (465 nucleotides) under uncultured bacterium. RNAcentral describes it as "partial 16S ribosomal RNA". It matches the Rfam family "Bacterial small subunit ribosomal RNA", at positions 28 to 507 of the family's 1533-position model. The record is from RNAcentral.
GACGAACGCUGGCGGCGUGCUUAACACAUGCAAGUCGAACGGAAAGGCCCCUUUGGGGGUACUCGAGUGGCGCACGGGUGAGUAACACGUGAGUAACCUGCCCUUGACUUCGGGAUAACUUCAGGAAACUGGGGCUAAUACCGGAUAGGAAUCCUUGCUGCAUGGUGGGAGUUGGAAAGCUUCGGCGGUUUUGGAUGGACUCGCGGCUUAUCAGCUUGUUGGUGGGGUAGUGGCUUACCAAGGCUUUGACGGGUAGCCGGCCUGAGAGGGCGACCGGCCACAUUGGGACUGAGAUACGGCCCAGACGCCUACGGGAGGGAGCAGGGGGGAAUAUUGCACAAUGGGCGGAAGCCGGAUGCAGCAACGCCGCGGGCGGGAUGACGGCCUUCGGGUUGUAAACCGCUUUCAGCAGGGGCGAAGCUUGUGGUGACGGUACCUGCAGAAGAAGCACCGGCUAACUACGUG